UACAGAGGGGGCAAGCGUUGUUCGGAAUUACUGGGCGUAAAGCGCGCGUAGGCGGCCUUCUAAGUCGAAUGUGAAAUCCCCGGGCUCAACCCGGGAACUGCGUCCGAUACUGGAAGGCUUGAAUCCGGGAGAGGGAUGCGGAAUUCCAGGUGUAGCGGUGAAAUGCGUAGAUAUCUGGAGGAACACCGGUGGCGAAGGCGGCAUCCUGGACCGGCAUUGACGCUGAGGUGUGAAAGCGUGGGGAGCAAACAGG
RNAcentral lists this ribosomal RNA (253 nucleotides) under uncultured bacterium. RNAcentral's name for it is "partial 16S ribosomal RNA". It matches the Rfam family "Bacterial small subunit ribosomal RNA", at positions 524 to 776 of the family's 1533-position model. The record is from RNAcentral.